This 684-nucleotide ribosomal RNA is filed under the name Enterobacter ludwigii. RNAcentral's name for it is "bacterial SSU rRNA". It matches the Rfam family "Bacterial small subunit ribosomal RNA", at positions 80 to 760 of the family's 1533-position model. The record is from RNAcentral. Lineage: Bacteria; Pseudomonadati; Pseudomonadota; Gammaproteobacteria; Enterobacterales; Enterobacteriaceae.
GCUCUCGGGUGACGAGUGGCGGACGGGUGAGUAAUGUCUGGGAAACUGCCUGAUGGAGGGGGAUAACUACUGGAAACGGUAGCUAAUACCGCAUAACGUCGCAAGACCAAAGAGGGGGACCUUCGGGCCUCUUGCCAUCAGAUGUGCCCAGAUGGGAUUAGCUAGUAGGUGGGGUAACGGCUCACCUAGGCGACGAUCCCUAGCUGGUCUGAGAGGAUGACCAGCCACACUGGAACUGAGACACGGUCCAGACUCCUACGGGAGGCAGCAGUGGGGAAUAUUGCACAAUGGGCGAAAGCCUGAUGCAGCCAUGCCGCGUGUAUGAAGAAGGCCUUCGGGUUGUAAAGUACUUUCAGCGGGGAGGAAGGUGUUGUGGUUAAUAACCGCAGCAAUUGACGUUACCCGCAGAAGAAGCACCGGCUAACUCCGUGCCAGCAGCCGCGGUAAUACGGAGGGUGCAAGCGUUAAUCGGAAUUACUGGGCGUAAAGCGCACGCAGGCGGUCUGUCAAGUCGGAUGUGAAAUCCCCGGGCUCAACCUGGGAACUGCAUUCGAAACUGGCAGGCUAGAGUCUUGUAGAGGGGGGUAGAAUUCCAGGUGUAGCGGUGAAAUGCGUAGAGAUCUGGAGGAAUACCGGUGGCGAAGGCGGCCCCCUGGACAAAGACUGACGCUCAGGUGCGAAAGC